GGAUAAUUUAAUGGAGCAGUAAAAGGCCAGAUUCUCAGCUGAUACCCACUGAUGAGAAAAUCGCACCAAUUUGCACCAGCUGAAGAUGCACUGUCUGGAUCUCUAGAGCUCCUACUUUUAAGAAGUGCAAGUGAAUCUUCAGCUAUUUUGCUUACAGAGUACUUAUGGGAAAGAGGAAUGUGUAUGUUCGCAGCUAAACUUUUGUCCAUCAUAGUUUCACAGUGAUAACCUGAAGCCCAUUUGGACACAGAUCAGGACUUUGGUUGGGUAUUACUGUCCACUGCAUAGGUGAGCUAACACAAACUACUCCAACUAUAUAUUUAGAUUGAUUUUCUUUUGGUUAUCCUGCAACAGUUUAGUUUUGCUCUAGGCUUAGGUGAUAAAUAUAACGUGGAUUAAAGCCAUUGCUCCUCAGACUGGCCCUGGGUUUGUUUGUUGCAGGACAUAAUACAUCUGUGCUUAACAAUCUCACUCCUUUCAGUUAACCCAUCCAUGGCCCCAGAGAUUUUCCUCUUGAAGCCAAUCCAACAUGGUAAGGAAGAGACCCUACACCGUGAGGAAUCAGGGCAGUCUGGCUUUGGAGUUCAGAACCAGAUGGCUGGAAGCUUCAUUGCUAUUUAACAAAGACUUUUGGUACUAAGACAAAUGCCAAGAUCUGCAGGCAGCCCAACUUUCAGUAACUUCCUCGAUACUUUUGAGUCAUCAUUAAUACCAUCCCACUCAAGAGAUAUUCCUAGGUGUACCCCUCUUCCCAGCACUUUUUUUAAUCAUAUACUUUUAAUUUGCUUUAACCCUGCUGGCAAUUAACCUUUCACCCUGUAAUGUGAUGGAAAGUACAGCAACAAUAGCAGAGUAGCACAAUCCUUGGCUAUAGCAAAUGAGAACAACCCCAAAUGCAGCAACUGUGGUUGCAGAAAUGAAAGAAAAAAAACUGCUUACCUUUGUAAGGCCUCCAGUAGAAAGAAAUCUACAACAAGAUACCCUUCCCUCCACUGCCAACCCUUAAAUGAGGUCUGGGAAGGGUGGAUCCUGGCUCUACCUCUUCUGGUCACUCACGUUCAUUGCAUGCACCUGAGCUCCCCUGGGUUGGCCCUGCCUUCCCACCAGGUGCUCAAUCACUUUUUCAGGCUGUGACUUAGCAUUUCCGCUAUACCCCUGGAACUCUUUUCUCGUAAUUCCUGGCAAGCUCCAUUCAGUGCUGUAAUCUAUGUGAGCUGUUUAAACCCUUCUGCUUUUCCAUGGCAGUUUUCAAAGACUGGAGAUCUUUGAGCAGUCUCCUGUGAAGUUUUAGCAGCCUCUUCCCGCUCCCUAUUGCUGUGUUGGGCAAGGGGCGGCAGUCUGCUUUCUUCUUUCAUGCCAUUUCUGAGCAAUUCUUCAGUGUUGUGCUUCUCCCUGACUGAUCAAAGCCUUUCCCACUGUGACCUUUGAUCAAGCAGUAAAAGAUUUCUAGCAGAGCAUCAGCCCCUUCUGAUUGCUGUAUGAGGUGGGUCAGCCAGUACCCAGGGCAGCGUGGGGGUAGUGGAAGUGCUUGCUUGAGCAAGGCUGGCAGGGGUUGCCCGUUUGUCUCCUAAGUAUUUUCCAGUUUACUGCAUGGCAAGGUUAAUUGCUGCUGUGUGCUCUGACUCUGUUUUUCACCACGUCGAAUUCCCUGUGUUGCUGGUGUCAACACCAUUCUCACCUGUUCAGGUUGCCCAGAAGCACUCAUAAGACAAACAUGAGCUGAGAGAUACAUGCUAUCUAUCUGUAUGCUAUGUAUAUGCAUGUAAAUAUAUGUAUACUUAUGAAUCUUUCAUACAUGUUUAUGUGUGUAUGUAUAUAUGUUAAUCUAUAUCUCAGCAUGCUUGUGUGAAGACAUUUUCCUCACUGGCAGAAUUUGAACUCCAAGUGGACUGUUGUCUGUCUGACAUAGGGCAUGAUGGAAGAAUACUUCUUUUGCCUCUGUUGAAAAUGAUUGACCAUUGGUUCAGUCAAAUGCUACAGAGCAUUAAUGAGAUGUUGGCUUUGUAUGCCAGCCAAGAUAUUAUGGACGUGCCAUGUAAGAUGGACACACGCUUGGGCUCCACAUGGUUCGCUGAAGGCAGCUGCUCUUGGCAGGUGGGGCAAGGCAGGAACACUUAAUCUUUCAUUGAAUGCUGAUUAAAUUUGCAGAACGGGGUACAACUGGAAAAAAUAUGAGUGACCAAAGAGGUGAAACUGAUGCUGUGUUCACAGGUAGAGCCUUAGGAAUUAUCUGAACAGAAAAGGACGCUAGCUGGUAAGAGUUAGCAGCACCCAAACUCCUCCCUGGUUUAUGAUUUCCUUUGGUUUCUCUUUGUUUUGCUCAAUCUGCAAUCAUUACAUGAGCAUAAUAUCUGCUGACGGAAAUUCCCUAGAAAACCUCAUUAUUUAAUGCAAAAUAAUAUCUUCAUCAACAGCUCUGAAGCAGGUGGUUUCUCACAUGUUGCCACUAUUUCCAAAGUCAUCAUUGUUGUUUUUUUUUUUCCUUAAUGAAGAAAGUUAAAAAAAAGCCCACUAAACAACAAUAAGAAGUUCUGCUUUUGAUUAACAAGGAAAAAAAAAGUUUAAUUUCUAAAGAUGUCUCUAUAUUAUUAACUCAAUUAUCAGAAGGGAUGGUUGAAUGAGCAGACAAUUAAAAGAAGGAGAAGCUCAGAAGGAAAAGUUCAUCAGUGUAUUAGGCAGACAAUGGGGGAAAGUAAAACUAUUUCAAGUGCUAUUUGAAGGAAGCCAUUUGGGAAAGAAAUAGGAUUAAUUAAGUUUUGAACCGGUUAAUUUUGUUAUCUAAAAAUAUUUCACAGAUUAACCACUAUAACGUACUUAUGCAUGAGGUAAUGUCUGAGCUCCUUCAGCAGUGCUGCUCUCGAUAAAGGUACUUUAAAUCAACAUGGCACUCCAGACUUUCCAGAGCCCAUGGUGUACUCUGCAGCUGAGAUUAACAUGGGGCUUUGAGACAUCCACAACAGAGAGGUCUGAACUGUGCAGCAGUAUUCUGCUGUCUGUCACAGUGUCAGCUGAAUCCCGCUAAACUCAAUGAGAGGCAAUGGCUUUGUUGCCUCUCACGGGGAGUGAUCUUUAGGCUUUAUCACCUCCUCCGUCUCCCUGUAUAGACCCUGUCUGUUUUCAUUGUAAGCAUCAGUCUAAAAUAUCUUUGUAGAGCUAGAGCAGUGACUUGGAGGAUCUGCUGUCACCACAACUACCCCAAAGAGGAAUCUCUUUCCUUUUGCAAUUUAUUCCCAUUGCCCCUUCCUUGGAGCUUGUGUACAUGUAGCUACAGGGAUGCUCCAAGUGCUCCUUCAUCUACAUAAUUCAGGUAAACUCUUCCCUUCCCAUUCUUUUUCCUGUUCUCCUUGAGAAAAUGUCUGUAACCUUUUCCUUCCAUGGAUUUUUGUCCCUUACAUUUUUGUUUUUUGGGCUGAUCCUGAGCUGACAGUGGGAAGACAGUUUUCCCUGACUUUGGCUCAGACCUCCAAGACAGCCCUGUAUUCCAGCUCUCAGUAUGGUUUCCACCAAAAUAUAUGUAGUAAUAAUUGUCUGUACAAAAUUUCCUUGCUGCAAAGCUUUGGACAAUGGGGUCUGUGCCCUCACUCCGCAUGCAUAGCCCUGCUUUGUGAAAACGGGUCCCAUAAUUGGAUUAAAUCAAUAUGCAAAGGGCAAAAAUAAAUAAAUAAAUCUGUUUACCCUGUCUGCACAGGGCUUUUGUUUGUGCCUUAGUUUUCUUCAAGGCGUGGGUAGUGAAUCAUGACAAAUUACUUUCUCAAGCUUUGCCGUCUAUUUCUUAAUGAAUUAAUUUUAACAGGCACCAGCCACGGUCCUCCCCAUGCUGCUGCUGCCAUGAUGGUCCCUGGGUGGGGUGGACCAGUGACUCUGUUCUCAGCAAGGGGACAAGCUUGGAAAAAGUGUGACAAACUAUAUACAAUGUUGAGUGGCCCAGGCAAGACAAAGGCAUUCACCCUGCCCCUCCAGUUGUUGAAUUUAGGUGAGAAAUGCCAAAUACAUGACUUGAGGAAAAAAUAUGACCUGUGGGUGCUUGAAAGUAAUUUUCCAUAGGUGGUAUUUGAGAAUCUUAUCUUCCAUCUCGUUAAUAAUGAUCUUUGAAGGGAACCCUAUAAACUGUCUUCCAUUUCUGAUGAGAUGGAAUAAUUUAUUACUUCAAUUUCCCUGAUUAAUGUAAAAUGUGUUUCAAAUUUAGGUUUUGCUUUAAUAUUUAAGCUUCCCCAUGAGAGGAGCUGCAGUAGGGCAGGGUGACUGUGUCAUCCCCUGUAUCCACCCUCCCUGUGCCAUGGCAUGUUCCCAAAUCAGGGUGAGCUCUGCUAGCAGAGCAGACCUGCAAUAAAAUUAAGCAGCAAACAUAGCUUGUUUCAAGACCCUGCUCUCUUAAAAGGCAGGAACAUUGGUGCCUACCUGCCUGGAAGGGUCAGAUCCCACAGCUCUGCUCAUUCAUGC
Long non-coding RNA from Gallus gallus (chicken), 4440 nucleotides. NCBI's taxonomy places the organism in Eukaryota, Metazoa, Chordata, Aves, Galliformes, Phasianidae. The record is from Ensembl.